UUGCAUCAUGAUUUACAUUUGAGUGAGUGGCGAACUGGUGAGUAACACGUGGGAAACCUGCCCAGAAGCGGGGGAUAACACCUGGGAAACAGGUGCUAAUACCGUAUAACACAAAAUCCGCAUGGAUUUGUUUGAAAGGUGGCUUCGGCUAUCACUUCUGGAUGAUCCCGCGGCGUAUUAGUUAGUUGGUGAGGUAAAGGCCCACCAAGACGAUGAUACGUAGCCGACCCUGAGAGGGUAAUCGGCCACAUUGGGACUGAGACACGGCCCAAACUCC
Molecule: ribosomal RNA, 277 nt
Filed under: uncultured Lactobacillus sp.
Lineage: Bacteria; Bacillati; Bacillota; Bacilli; Lactobacillales; Lactobacillaceae
Description: partial 16S ribosomal RNA
Rfam family: Bacterial small subunit ribosomal RNA
Source: RNAcentral